This 576-nucleotide ribosomal RNA is filed under the name uncultured bacterium. RNAcentral's name for it is "partial 16S ribosomal RNA". It matches the Rfam family "Bacterial small subunit ribosomal RNA", at positions 355 to 923 of the family's 1533-position model. The record is from RNAcentral.
UGGGGAAUUUUGGACAAUGGGCGAAAGCCUGAUCCAGCAAUGCCGCGUGUGUGAAGAAGGCCUUCGGGUUGUAAAGCACUUUUGUCCGGAAAGAAAUCCUUGGCUCUAAUACAGUCGGGGGAUGACGGUACCGGAAGAAUAAGCACCGGCUAACUACGUGCCAGCAGCCGCGGUAAUACGUAGGGUGCAAGCGUUAAUCGGAAUUACUGGGCGUAAAGCGUGCGCAGGCGGUUUGCUAAGACCGAUGUGAAAUCCCCGGGCUCAACCUGGGAACUGCAUUGGUGACUGGCAGGCUAGAGUAUGGCAGAGGGGGGUAGAAUUCCACGUGUAGCAGUGAAAUGCGUAGAGAUGUGGAGGAAUACCGAUGGCGAAGGCAGCCCCCUGGGCCAAUACUGACGCUCAUGCACGAAAGCGUGGGGAGCAAACAGGAUUAGAUACCCUGGUAGUCCACGCCCUAAACGAUGUCAACUAGUUGUUGGGGAUUCAUUUCCUUAGUAACGUAGCUAAUGCGUGAAGUUGACCGCCUGGGGGAGUACGGUCGCAAGAUUAAAACUCAAAGGAAUUGACGGGGUCAUA